Molecule: long non-coding RNA, 1125 nt
Filed under: Bos indicus x Bos taurus (hybrid cattle)
Lineage: Eukaryota; Metazoa; Chordata; Mammalia; Artiodactyla; Bovidae
Description: lncRNA (ENSBIXG00005012915.1)
Source: RNAcentral
CACGAAAGAGGUGCCUCUGCCGUCCACAGCUCUGGCUCCCCCAGCCACGGGGACCACAGUGUCCUCUUUGGCCCAGGAGUCCACACACCACUGGUCACAGCCGCCCGGCCCCUGCCAGACCAUCUGAGGGAGUGGACCGAGCCUCUCCAGACUAAGUGGACUAAGCAGGGACAAAGCUCCUCCCCAGACCCUGGAGAACCCAGGCCAGAUCUGGAGACCCCUGACUCAAGGCCGGCUGUCACAAUGUGACCGGGUAGGUCUGAGACGGGGCAGCGCUCACCCACAAGAUGGGGUUAAGAAGCCCAUCUUGCCAGCCAGGAGGGCUCAGUUGAGGGAGCGUGUGCCAGGCAAGUGGCCAUGUCUGUGGACAGAGCCAGGGCCAGGCUCACUGUCUUCAGAGCCCCUCCUGGGCAUCUCACCCCUGGGGUCACCUUGGGCCACAUGCUCUGGUAACCAGCAAGCUCACGCCGUCCAAAGUGCCAUCCAGCCUCUGCACUACAGCCCCCAGCCCAGAUCUCCCUUCACCAAGCUCCUGGACCGAAUCAGAUCUAACCCCCACCAAGCUACCUGCUAGGGUGAGGGAACAGCCAGGGAAGAAGAUCCAUAAAUCUUUUUGGAGGGAUUCCCCAGAUACCAGACCCCAGAGUCUCCUGGGAGAUGAGAGUUCACAGAAACAGGCUGAGACCCAAAGACAGGGGGCUCGUCCACCAGAUGACACACACACACAUACACACACAUGUAGACACACAUAUGUGCACACACACACAAAACAUAACACAAGAACAUAUAUACACAUGUGUACACACAUAUACUACACGCGUGCAUAUACAUACAAAAAUACAACACACAUACAUAUACACACAGGCAUAGCCAUACGCACGUGGACACACAUACGUACACACACAUGCAAGCACGUGCAUGCAUAUAUGUAUAUACAAAUACACAGACACACGCGUGCACACAUACAAAAACACAAUACACACAACACACAUACACAGAUACAAAUGCAUGUACAAACACAUGCAUGCACACAAAACCAAGCAUAUACAUACAUGCAAACACAUACGCAUACACACAGACAAAAACACAUGCAGGCACAUACACGCGUACAAAGACACAUGCACA